Molecule: long non-coding RNA, 4491 nt
Organism: Cyprinus carpio carpio
Lineage: Eukaryota; Metazoa; Chordata; Actinopteri; Cypriniformes; Cyprinidae
Source: Ensembl
GUGAUUGAUCAAAAUAGAGAAUAAUUUCUGAUUUACCAUACAUGUUGCAUUUUUCAUUUAAUAUGGAACCCUGCUCAAACUUUCUUCUCAAACUUGCUGCAGCUACUUCAAAUUAACCACAAUCAUAUCCUGUGCAUAUAAGAGAAGAACAAAAACAUCAUGGUUUUUCCAUUUAUCGCACCUGUACAAAACCGGACGUUUUCAUAGAUCUAAACAGACUGCAGAAUCUAAAAGCCAUUAUUAUAAAGUGAUAUUACACUUACCAAAAUGCCAAAGUUUUGGAGGAAAAUAAAAACAGCCAGGAAUAAAUAUGAGUGGUAUCCUCUGGUGAAAGACAUGCAAGCCUCCAAUGUCCAGACUCAAAACUGAGUGUGUACGACCCUUCGCUGCUGACAGGAAGGUUUGAGAGAGCAAAGCAGAAACUGCUUCAAGUACUUCAGGUAGGACUUUAUGGUAUCCACCUUGUUUUUUAACAGCAUGGCCACUUAAAUGUGCGAGGCUUCCGCUGUCAUCCACUUCUAGUUAUUUUAGCUGUACAAAAUCAGUCUGUUCUGGUGCUUGAUAUUGCAAACUGCUAUUUGUUAUGGUGUAAUUUAAAUGUAUUAUCGUAAUAAUAAAUACACUGGUUUGUAGUGCAAAUAGUUUUACAAUUUCUGCACUUUACACUUAAAAAAAUGCUGGGUCAAAACAACCCAGUGCUGGGUGAAAUAUGGACAAGCCCAGCAAUUUGGUUGUUUUGACCCAGCAGUUUGGUUAAAUGUUUAACCCAACCUUCUGGGUAGUAACCCAACCGCUGGGUCAAAACAAUCCAGUUGCUGGGUUUGUCCAAUUUUACCCAGCACUGGGUUGCAUUUAACCCAGCAUUUUUUAGAGUAUAUACAAUAGCAAUUAAUGAAACGGAAGUCUUGUACAUUCACAGAAAAGAUUGCGUUGCAAAAAAAAGGUGGGUAUGACUUUCUGUUAUUUGAAUUCUUUGACUCUCAUUACUGACUAAUGCAUGAAAGGACCCAAAACAUGCACAUGAGGUGUAACACACUUGUAUCUCUGCCCAACUUAAACUGCCAAAGGAUGACAUCUCCAAGACUCUACAGAACAUCCUACACUAUGAUGAGAAACAUGGACAUAAUGAGGACUCAAUGGAUGAAGAAACUUUCAUCAGAGUUCACUUAGAUGUCACUCAGGUAGCUCUUAGAGAGAGAGAGAGAGAGAGAGAGAGAGAGAGAGACAGAAAGUGAAGAAAGACUUCAAGGUUUUAUUUUUAAUGCUCACUUAUUUCAUGUUUUUGCCUUCACAGUGCCUGAACUAUGCUAUUUUUGAUGCUAAAAAAGUUGGUCUGACUUUGAUGCAUGCAGUACAAAUACUCUGUAGUGGAGAGCUGCAUGGUUUUGUUCAGAAGUAGGAUUCUCCUCAUAUUAUUAUCUAGUAUCCUUAUAUUCAUUUAAGUGUAUGGUUGCUGGAGAGGGAAGGUUUGUAAUCCUGUACUUAAUAUAAAUAUGUUUUCUUAGGUAUGUGGAUGCUAAGAACAAACGUCUAUAAAAAACAAACGUUUACAGAGACAAACUCUGUGUAUCUGUUUCGGAUAAUCAACACCUGCAUGCAACUCAGGUAUUUAUUAAUGAUGAUUAAGUAAUGAACUAAUACAUGGCUGUUACAGAAACUGUAUCAGUGUAUAAUUAAAUCUGGACUAAUUGAAGAAUAAGACAUAUUUGUCACCCUUGAUUUAUUCAAGUGGCAGUAUAAUUGUGGAGAUAUUAAGAUGACUAAUAUUUGGCUGUCAUAUUUGACUAAAACAGUGGUUGCCUUUUUUCCAGGGCACCCUUAUUUUAACAGUCAACCUUUUUGAAUCAAUGAAUCAGUGACAUUAACAAUGAUGGCAGAAGAUUUUUAAAUGAAAAAAUAACGUUGGUUGAGUGAGUUUAACGAAAUUUCAACCAAGGGGGGCCUUUAAUUGGUCCGUGCCCAGGGCACCGCUGUGUCAUAAUCCGUCCCUGACUUACCGUCUGGAAUUUCAUCAUGGUUUGCUGCAACUGUUUCUAUUUAUAACCCUCAAACUGGAACGAGCUCAGCGACUCCUAGUGGUGUCACGACCCGGGGUUGGGAACCACUGGGGAAAAUCCUUGUGUAGAAUAAAACAGCUUUUCUAGGUCACUGUUAUAACUAGAGUCACUAUACGGUGAGUGUAUUAUUUUAAAAAUAUUUGUGCUAAGUUGUCCUUUUCCUAUCUGGAAUGAAAAUAUUUUACCUGUAGAUGUUGUGCUACACAAAUCAGUCCAAAUACAAACAGCAGAGAUGUCUCCUCAAGCACUAUAUGCAUGCUACAGAAACUGGAAGACAAUGCUUCAUCCAUUGUACGAAAGCUCAUGAAAUGCUUAGCACAGGCCAAUUUAGAAGGUUAUUUUGAGAAAAGAGAUGGGCAUAUUGAUAUCCUGAUGGAGGCAAUCCAAAGGCAGUGUGCAUCUCUGCCUGAGACUGCUUCAGAGAUCAAAACGGUCAUUGUGAAAAUAGCUUACGACAGUGUUUCCAAAGUGUACCUGGAAUGCUUGAUGAAGACAAAUGUCAGAAAGCUAGAGAUGCUUUGGGGAAAUGCUGAGGAAAAGAUAAAAGAGGAUGUUCAACAUUUUCACCAAAUAUUCUCUGACCUGGUGAAAAAUUAACUCUAUUUCUCAGCAUAAUCCUAGUUUUAAUCCUUAACUUUUGACUAAGAGAACAGUGUGUUUUUUCAUUCAUUACACAAAUAAAAAGCUCAUGGUUUGAGUAAAGUGAUUUCUACCUGCAGAAUGGCAUUGCUGCCCAGGAGAGCUCCUUCAGAGAAUGAGUGUUUUGCUUUACAGUCAUGUAAAAACGAAGGACGUUACCAAUGCUUUGUUCAAAGACUUCCCUCAGGAGAGUGAGCAGUAUGUACCUGGUCUGCUGCGCUGGAAGGGUGUGUUAUCAGAGCAACAGGUGAAGGAAGUGCUGGAUGAGAUUCGGGAACCCUGCCAAAAUCCAGAUCCUACACAUGUCACCUGUUUUCUUCUGAAGGGACUUUUUUGUUGUAAAUAGCUUGAGGUCAGAGGUCAGUAAAAGUAAGCUAUGGAGAAUGUUCUCUGAACAUUGUGCUAUUUAUAUUUUCAAGCAUUCAGAUCUGAUGUUAAUUUUUAAAAUAUGUCCUAAAUCUUUUUUGUUCACACCUGUCUAAAACAAACUGUUGGUGUUCCGAACAAAGUGAAAAUACAGGUGAAUUGGAAACAAUUACUCUGUAAAGACUGACAUUUGAAAUAAUAGUUAGAACAAUUUUUUUUUUAAAUGGGACAGUUUAUUAAAAAUGUAUAUGCCAACUUACAUAAAAUGCAUUUAAAUAUUAGUUGUCACUCUGUAUCUUCCAAUAGUAUGUCUUAGUAAAAUGAUAUUUAAAUGCUUAGUUUUAUUAUCAAAGCUCUGUAGUUAUUUAUUGUUGGGCAAAACAUAUAAUGCAAUGCAAUACAAUAAUUGUUGAGAAAUUAACCUCUUAAGCACAGGGCUAUUUUGGGGAUUUCCGCCUGGCAUUUUUCCUACCCAAAUUCAAAAGCUUCCCAUACCCACAUGCAGAGGUGUACAUACAAAAGUUUGGUAUCAUUUUACAGGAAAUCCUUUGAAAUUACAUAAAACAGUGUUGAAACUGAUAAAAAUGGUUUAAUAUGUUGUCUGUGUUAUAAUAAAUGGGGAAAAAAAAAGGCGCUUUUUGAUUUUUUUUUUUAUAAACUGAAGUUUGAAAUUGUAUAGCUCAGGUUCUGAGAGGUCCAGCAUCCUGCAAACAAUUGUAUUUGUUUCCAGCACAUGUCAGCUAAUAGAGGAAAAAGGAAAUUUGUUUCUAUCAUAAUCUAUGCAAAAGUUAUUCUAUUCCAUCUAAAGGGAGGAAUAAUACCCUUUUUGUAUACAUUUUCCGACUACCCACAUUUGAAGACUCCAAAUACCCACAUAUAGUAGAAUAGAUGCAAUAUCUUUAUAUCCUUUUACAGAAAACCCUUUGAAGUGACAUAAAAAGCUGCUGUUUGUGACAAAUAUUAUUAUUUGUGUUGUUUUUCACAUGAUGAACCACCUCAAUACAAGGCGCUUUUUUUGUGUGUUCUAAACACUUUCUUUGAAAGUAGAUAACUCAGGCCCUGUGUGCUCUAGCAAACUGCAUUACUUUAUAAAAUAUAUCUGGUCUAUCACAAUCUAAAAUAGAAUCCACAUUCUCCAGCUUUAUAUCAUUUCAUUCAUGUGCAUUCUGUAUUGGUAUACUGAUUCAGAGCAUCUGACCUCAGCAUCCACUGUCUCACUUCAGCAUCUUCAGCACCCUCUUUGUCUGUUUGGUCGCGAGCUGCGGGCUAUCCGCUAACCGGAGCUGCUAUAUGGCCUUCAGAGCGUCAAAGAAACACAUAUAUGUUCAUCCACACAGCACUGUAAUAAUCCAUGUGUAUUUACUGUAUAUUUACUGAAAUGCAUCAUGUACUGUACUUUUCUGUCAAUAAACAGUUUAUCAGAUUGUCA